CCCCCUCUAUGUAUAUAAAGAUGGCCACGUUAGCCAACGGCCAGGCAGAGAACCCCAGCCUCCCCAGCAGCCACGCCAGCCCCAACCCCAACGGGCACAUGAACGGAUUAAACCACAGUCCGGGGAACCCGUCCACCAUUCCCAUGAAGGACCACGAUGCUAUCAAGCUCUUCAUCGGGCAGAUCCCCCGCAACCUGGACGAGAAGGACCUCAAGCCCCUCUUCGAGGAGUUCGGCAAGAUCUACGAACUGACCGUGCUAAAGGACAGGUUCACGGGCAUGCACAAAGGUUGUGCCUUCCUAACAUACUGUGAAAGGGAGUCCGCUCUUAAAGCCCAGAGUGCAUUGCAUGAACAGAAGACGCUGCCAGGGAUGAACAGACCGAUCCAGGUGAAACCAGCGGACAGCGAGAGCCGAGGAGAAGACAGAAAACUCUUUGUGGGCAUGCUCAACAAACAGCAGUCAGAAGACGACGUGCGCAGGUUAUUUGAGGCCUUCGGGAACAUCGAGGAAUGCACGAUCCUUCGGGGCCCAGAUGGCAACAGCAAAGGUUGUGCAUUUGUGAAAUAUUCCUCGCACGCGGAAGCCCAGGCGGCCAUCAACGCCUUGCACGGGAGCCAGACAAUGCCGGGGGCCUCGUCGAGUCUGGUGGUCAAGUUUGCAGACACGGACAAGGAGCGCACCAUGAGGCGCAUGCAGCAAAUGGCCGGGCAGAUGGGCAUGUUCAACCCCAUGGCGAUCCAGUUCGGAGCAUACGGCGCCUAUGCACAGGCACUGAUGCAGCAGCAAGCAGCCAUCAUGGCGUCCGUGGCCCAAGGCGGGUACCUAAACCCUAUGGCAGCUUUCGCGGCGGCGCAAAUGCAGCAGAUGGCAGCCCUGAACAUGAACGGCCUUGCCGCCACACCCAUGACGCCCACCUCAGGUGGCAGCACGCCUCCGGGCAUCACCGCGUCAGCCGUGCCUAGCAUCCCUUCUCCUAUUGGGGUAAACGGUUUCACUGGCCUACCGCCGCAAGCUAAUGGGCAGCCCGCUGCAGAAGCUGUCUUUGCCAACGGCAUCCAUCCUUACCCAGCACAGAGUCCGACCGCAGCCGACCCCUUGCAGCAAGCCUACGCCGGAGUGCAGCAGUAUGCAGGUCCCGCUUACCCUGCUGCCUACGGCCAGAUCAGCCAAGCCUUUCCACAGCCGCCUCCCAUGAUCCCACAGCAACAGAGAGAAGGACCCGAGGGCUGCAACCUGUUUAUCUACCAUCUGCCCCAGGAGUUUGGGGACGCAGAGCUGAUGCAGAUGUUCCUGCCAUUCGGUAAUGUCAUCUCCUCGAAAGUGUUUGUGGAUCGGGCGACAAACCAAAGUAAAUGCUUUGGUUUUGUGAGUUUUGACAAUCCUGCCAGCGCCCAAGCUGCCAUCCAGGCCAUGAACGGCUUCCAGAUUGGCAUGAAGAGGCUGAAAGUGCAACUGAAGAGGCCGAAGGAUGCUAACCGCCCCUACUGAAGCAUGGUGGGAAACACUGGAUAAGCAAGGUCUAGCACAGAGCCAGUCAAAUCCACCACAGUCUCGCGCUGAGCUAGGAAAAAGGGUUCACGUAAUGACAGGAAAGUGGAGAGAAUACAGUCCCCCAGUCCGGCAUCAGCUGAAUGGGCCGCAUUUAGAGAAAUAUACAUAUAUAUAUAUUAAAUAAAUAUAUAUAGGAACGAGAACUCGUUGGAUUACACCUUUUAACAUAUCAGCAACUAUCAGCCAAGCUGAAGACUUCAGAUUUACUCUCUUUCUGAUUGUUGAGAACUGUAAAACAUUUCUUCGCGAAACGUCACCGUCAGCUGGGUCCGAAGGACAAUGCUUGAAAACAACAACAACAACAAAAAGUAUAACAACCAAUCACAAGAGCAAGAUCGACUAGGAUUUCUGCAGAGACACUGAUGUCACCGCAGCGACUUUUCUCCAAACAGGAAAUGCAAACCUUGAUACUGACAAAAAAAAAAAAGGAGUGCCUGUUUGCCACCAAGGAUGCAGUUGCUAUGGAGAACUCAUAGCACCUGUCACUAGGAGCAUCUCUCUGUCAUUCCUUAGCUAUUAUAGGGACCAAAGGACAUAACUUUUUAUCGCAAAACUUGUAGCUGUAUGUAAAUUACAGAAGUUCUUUCCUUUUUUCUCGAGCUGUUCCUAUAACAGUUUUUGAGAGCAAUUAUAUGAAAUAUGUAAAAAUUGAAAAAAAAUGCUUAAAAACGCUUUUAACAAAUGGCAAGAUAAUAGUUAUUUGAUACUUUGGGAGGAUCUUUGGUUAUACAUUAAUUAGAGUCUAUGAAACUUUCGUAUGGUUUUCUGUAUAAUAUGUAUGGAUCGAGUGGUUAAAGGGGCAAGUAAUGGAUAUUUGUGAAAAGCAAAAAAUAA
Molecule: RNA transcript, 2387 nt
Organism: Heteronotia binoei (common prickly gecko)
Lineage: Eukaryota; Metazoa; Chordata; Lepidosauria; Squamata; Gekkonidae
Gene: CELF4
Gene name: CUGBP Elav-like family member 4
Exons: 14
Source: RefSeq, a predicted model, not a curated record